CCUUCCUCAGGAGCACGCCCCCUCCAAAAAAUAACAGGAGAAACAGGAGGACGAUGCGCUGCUUGAUCCAACCCAGUCUCCGUCCUUUUCUAUCAUCCAAUCCAACCCUAUCUCCUUUCCCUUCGUUGAUCCAAUCCCUCCAGUUCUUGCGUCCAUAGGGUGCCCGGCAGGGUCUCCUUUGGCCGUUGCAUAGAGGAUAGUGUACGCACAUAUAAAUACAUAUCUACUCCUUCAACCUAAACCCCGGCCAAAUUGCGCUGUUCGGUCCAUGCUUGACAUUGUAGUCUUGUCGUUCUUUCAAAGUACGCCCGUCCGUGCUCUAGCCAAGGAAUUAGAGAAGAGAAGAGGGGAAAAGGGAAGAGAACGAGUCAAGUUAGACGUAGCACCGACGGAGAUAGCCGCAUGCAAUCCGAGUAUGUUUCGUUGGCUAGGAUUGAUCGGCAGCUAUAGAGAAAGAAAUAACCAAUUGAUCGAUCUAAGAGAGCUCAAUGUCAUGGACCAGUAUAAUUGAAGUGUGAGCAUCCAAUGCAUCCAGUCCAGGGAAUCACGAGUGGGUCCGAGCCGCCACCACUACACAUUGAUUAAGCCUGGACGUAUGUUUGUUUGGAGUUUGAAGGGAACCAACGCCAAAUGUGCAACACGUAGGAGUAGCUUGUGCAGCAGGGCUCCUUGCGUCGCUCACGGGUUACACAUGUUGUGAUGAGGUUCUCAGAUGCAACACGCUGGUCUUCCAGGGAAACGUCGACAAGCGUACCUGUGUUUCCGGGGUGGACGAGGCCCUGUAAACACUUACAGUGUGUUGUUGGCACAACCUGACCUUGCUGAUGCGACAUGAGUUUUUUCUAGCAAUCAUGCACCUCUGAAGAGUGAAGACUAACUAGACUACUUUCUGAACUGACCGGACGCGACGAGAUAAGCAAGUACGGAAAAACUAGCUGAUUUAUUCACCUUACAAUUAUACUAUUAUUUGAAGAUGCGAAUAUCUACUGAAAGUGUUGAUGUAAUGGUGUUGAUAGGUUUUGUGAGUAUUUGAAAUGCCUUUUUAAGUAGAGGUAUUAGAGAUACGAAGUUCUAGCUUUGUUCUUGGGGUAAUCUGAAAAAGAACUUUUGAGGUAGCUCAACUAAUCUGGUGUAAAGCUAUGAAGCAUUUUUAUUUUUUGAAAAGAUUACUGAAGGGGGAUACCUUAAUUUUGUUUUAUCCCUACAUCAGUUUAAGUAUAUUAAGCUCACAUUUAGUUAGAUGUAUAGCUUGCAUGGCAAUAUUCUAAUGUAUACUGCUAGCCAUGCACUUGCCUUUGUGGAUAACCAGGAGUACAGGCGCCUGCGCUUUAAGAGAACAGGAACAACGCAAGUCCUCCCUACACCUCCUCUCCAAUUCUGCCCAAGUGCAUCCUACUUUCUCCCUGCUUGCUUAUAGUUUUUUCUUACUUUUACUGCUUGACGUUCUUAAAUUAUAUUCAGUUGUAGUUACGAUAGUUGAUUGUUUGCUAGACCUUUGUGUCGUAAUACGGAUUGAUUGUGUUAAAUCUUACCGACAAAAAGACUAUUCCUCUUUUCAUUACAUGGAAGAACAUAUGUGUGAGAUGAGAGAGGCAACUGAUGUGGUUCUUUAUCAUGUUGCUACCAUCGCAAGCACUUGUUAAUUGAAGUUCAAGUGCAAAUGAUUACGCCAAUUAUGUGACAUCAUUUUUUUACUAAAGGUUAGUACAAUGAUUGACAGAUUGAUAUUACUUGGCCUGAACUCACGAUUUCCUUUUAGCUCUUCUCAAAAAUAUAUGUGCAACAAGAUCUCUAAAAAUGCAAAAAGCGGAAAGAAGUACAAACAGUUGAAUAAUUAUAGGUUUUCUUUCCAGAAAGAACAUAAUAAUUUUUAAUGCUACCCAAUAUUUGUAAUUGAAAAAGAGAGGAUGUACGUGCUUUACAUCAUCGGUGCUCGCCUCAAUCUGUUUCAAGCUAGAGAAUAGUAUGUGUGUAUAGUCUGAUUUUGCUCUGUCCAUAUUUCAAAUCUAACACAUACUGGAGCCAAAUAUUGAGCACGGAGCAGCCCUAAAUAUUGUUGGAUUACAUAGGUUCUGUAACUCCCUUACAUCCAAGCAGCCCUAAAUAUUGUUGGAUUACAUAGGUUCUGUAACUCCCUUACAUCCAUUGUGCACUAAACCACUACAAUUUCCAUCAUAUGGGAGAAUUUCGACCUACACUCCUGCUAUCUACAGAUUUUUCUUUUUCUAGGUUAUGGAUAUCACACUGCAUGUAUUCACCAUUGUCAUGUAGGCUAAUAUUACUUCCUAACUAUAUAUACUUCAUCUACAGUUCAUAUCUUCAGCUGAGCAAUAUUUUACACUCAACAUGUCCUUUUAUUGUAGGAGCCACCCAACAUGUCUUGGCAAAGAUGGAAAGAGGAUGAGUUCUUCAUUUCGUAUAGGUGAUUAUUUGAUGUUUUCGAUGAUUGGCUCGAUUCCUUCCUUCUAGCAAAGACCCUCAAAUAAUUCUCACCUAUGUGUGUGUGCGAGGUAGGGGUCUCGAGCCAUGUUUAUUGGGUUAGGUAUGCAUAUUUUUUCACAUGUUGCAACGCAUAAGCAUUUUUAAUAGUGCUCACCUAUGUGUGUAUGUGGGAGGAAGGAGUUUUGAACCAUGUUUAUUGGGUUAGGUACGUGUAUUUCUUCACCCAUUGCAACACACGGACAUUUUUGCUAGUUAAUGAAUAAUAUAAAUGGACAUGCUCCUUGAGCUGAUGCGGUCAUUUGAUAGAUAGCACCUGCAUAAAAGGGCAUCCAGAUGCUAUCUAGUAUAUAUCAUUUGUAAUGCAAUGCACAAUAAAGUUGCCCUAUGUUUUCUUA
Triticum aestivum (bread wheat) is the source of this 2837-nucleotide long non-coding RNA. RefSeq lists it as uncharacterized. The transcript has 2 exons. Lineage: Eukaryota; Viridiplantae; Streptophyta; Magnoliopsida; Poales; Poaceae. The record is from RefSeq and is a predicted model, not a curated record.